GGUUAAGUGAAUAAGGGCGCACGGUGGAUGCCUUGGCACUAGGAGCCGAUGAAGGACGGGACUAACACCGAUAUGCUUUGGGGAGCUGUAAGUAAGCUAUGAUCCAGAGAUUUCCGAAUGGGGGAACCCAAUAUCUUUUAUAGGAUAUUACUUUUCAGUGAAUACAUAGCUGAUUAGAGGUAGACGCAGAGAACUGAAACAUCUUAGUACCUGCAGGAAGAGAAAGAAAAUUCGAUUCCCUGAGUAGCGGCGAGCGAAACGGGAAGAGCCCAAACCAACAAGCUUGCUUGUUGGGGUUGUAGGACUCCGAUAUGGUAGUCUGUUAGUAUAGUUGAAGGAUUUGGAAAAUUCCGCUAAAGAGGGUGAAAGCCCCGUAGACGAAAUGCUGACAACACCUAGGAGGAUCCUGAGUACGGCGGAACACGAGAAAUUCCGUCGGAAUCCGCGGGGACCAUCCCGCAAGGCUAAAUACUCCCUAGUGACCGAUAGUGAACCAGUACCGUGAGGGAAAGGUGAAAAGCACCCCGGAAGGGGAGUGAAAUAGAUCCUGAAACCGUGUGCCUACAACAAGUCAAAGCUCGUUAAUGAGUGAUGGCGUGCCUUUUGUAGAAUGAACCGGCGAGUUACGAUUGCAUGCGAGGUUAAGUCGAAGAGACGGAGCCGCAGCGAAAGCGAGUCUGAAUAGGGCGAAUGAGUAUGUAGUCGUAGACCCGAAACCAUGUGAUCUACCCAUGUCCAGGUUGAAGGUGCGGUAAAACGCACUGGAGGACCGAACCCACGUACGUUGAAAAGUGCGGGGAUGAGGUGUGGGUAGCGGAGAAAUUCCAAACGAACUUGGAGAUAGCUGGUUCUCUCCGAAAUAGCUUUAGGGCUAGCCUCGGAAUUGAGAAUGAUGGAGGUAGAGCACUGUUUGGACUAGGGGCCCAUCUCGGGUUACCGAAUUCAGAUAAACUCCGAAUGCCAUUCAUUUAUAUCCGGGAGUCAGACUGCGAGUGAUAAGAUCCGUAGUCGAAAGGGAAACAGCCCAGACCACCAGCUAAGGUCCCAAAAUAUAUGUUAAGUGGAAAAGGAUGUGGGGUUGCACAGACAACUAGGAUGUUGGCUUAGAAGCAGCCACCAUUUAAAGAGUGCGUAAUAGCUCACUAGUCGAGUGACCCUGCGCCGAAAAUGUACCGGGGCUAAACAUAUUACCGAAGCUGUGGACUACACCAUUAGGUGUAGUGGUAGGAGAGCGUUCUAAGGGCGUUGAAGGUCGAUCGUGAGGACGGCUGGAGCGCUUAGAAGUGAGAAUGCCGGUAUGAGUAGCGAAAGACAGGUGAGAAUCCUGUCCACCGUAUGACUAAGGUUUCCUGGGGAAGGCUCGUCCGCCCAGGGUUAGUCGGGACCUAAGCCGAGGCCGAUAGGCGUAGGCGAUGGACAACAGGUUGAUAUUCCUGUACCAGUUGUUUUUGUUUGAGCAAUGGAGGGACGCAGUAGGCUAAGGAAUGCAUGCGAUUGGAAGUGCAUGUCCAAGCAAUGAGUCUUGAGUAGAGUUAAAUGCUUUACUCUCUAAGGACAAGUUGUGACGGGGAGCGAAAUAAUAGUAGCGAAGUUCCUGAUGUCACACUGCCAAGAAAAGCUUCUAGUGAGAAAACAACUGCCCGUACCGUAAACCGACACAGGUAGUCGAGGAGAGUAUCCUAAGGUGAGCGAGCGAACUCUCGUUAAGGAACUCGGCAAAAUGACCCCGUAACUUCGGGAGAAGGGGUGCUGACUUCGGUCAGCCGCAGUGAAUAGGCCCAAGCGACUGUUUAUCAAAAACACAGGUCUCUGCAAAAUCGUAAGAUGAAGUAUAGGGGCUGACGCCUGCCCGGUGCUGGAAGGUUAAGAGGAUGGGUUAGCUUCGGCGAAGCUCAGAAUUGAAGCCCCAGUAAACGGCGGCCGUAACUAUAACGGUCCUAAGGUAGCGAAAUUCCUUGUCGGGUAAGUUCCGACCCGCACGAAAGGCGUAACGA
Molecule: ribosomal RNA, 1994 nt
Filed under: Cutibacterium avidum
Lineage: Bacteria; Bacillati; Actinomycetota; Actinomycetes; Propionibacteriales; Propionibacteriaceae
Description: partial 23S ribosomal RNA
Rfam family: Bacterial large subunit ribosomal RNA
Source: RNAcentral